Long non-coding RNA from Myotis brandtii (Brandt's bat), 505 nucleotides. RefSeq lists it as uncharacterized. The transcript is spliced from 3 exons. Lineage: Eukaryota; Metazoa; Chordata; Mammalia; Chiroptera; Vespertilionidae. The record is from RefSeq and is a predicted model, not a curated record.
CUGUGAUUGGCUCAUCUUGGGCAAGGGCAUCACUCCUGGAUCCAAGAGCUCUCAGUUAUCUGGAAAAGUCACUUUCUGCAGAUCGUCUCUGAAAUUAUAUUGAGGUCAUCUGAGUCUCUCUUCUGGAUGCCCUCUUCCCCCUCCCCCAGCCCAAGGAGGGUAGAUGGGCAUUUAAGAAGAGCCACACUUCUAGUGGCAUCACUUUCCCCACAGCUUCCUUCUGCUUUGUUGUUUUUAUAUGAACACCUGUGUGGCUGGCCUCACACAGGGAGGGCAUCAUCUGAUACGAGUGUCCACCUGUCCUGCAUGCCCUGGUUCCCCGUCGAGCAAAAGGGAAGAAAACCGUUUCUGAUUCCUUCAGAUCUGGACCAUGAAUGAACAGUCAUUUCUGCCACAGAAUAAGACUUGUUUCUCAGGGACAUUAAUUGUGGUAAACCCACCCACGUAUGAGUUUGCCCAGAGCACCACCUACUGAACAGACUGGUACUACUGCAGAAACCUGAGG